This 345-nucleotide long non-coding RNA is filed under the name Monodelphis domestica (gray short-tailed opossum). RNAcentral describes it as "lncRNA (ENSMODG00000042680.1)". The record is from RNAcentral. Lineage: Eukaryota; Metazoa; Chordata; Mammalia; Didelphimorphia; Didelphidae.
CAGCUAGCUAUAGUGAGCUCUCAUCCAUCAGCACAGCCUCUAGGUGAGAGCUGCAAAGAAGGACAAGAACAUCAGAAGUGGUGAGAAGUAUGGCAGCAAGAGGACACAAAUAGUCAAAAGAAAAGUCUUUGCUAGAUGAUAAGAAACCUGAAAGUUUCUACCAAUCACUUUCCUUCAAGAUCCUGCUCUGCUGGGAAGACAUGAAGUCUCAAGAUUUGGGUUCAGCUAAAAUACUUAGCCAACACUUCUAGGGAAUAAGGAUCAUUAUAGGGUUGUCUGAAGAAUCAAGUUCUUUUUAGGAUAAAUGAAAAGAUUGCCAGUUUUUGUCAAGGUAGCUUUUCCUGA